UGAGUAAUGUAUCGGAACGUGCCUAGUAGCGGGGGAUAACUACGCGAAAGCGUAACUUAUACCGCAAACGCCCUACAGGGGAAAGCAAGGGAUCGCAAGACCUUGCACUAUUAGAGCGGCCGAUAUCGGAUUAGCUAGUUGGUGGGGUAACGGCUCACCAAGGACCACGAUCCACUAUCUGGUUUGAGAGGACGACCAACCACACUGCGGACUGAGACACGGCCCAGACUCCUACUGGAGGCAGCAGUGGGGAAUUUUGGACAAUGGGGGAAACCCUGAUCCAGCCAUCCCGCGUGUGCGAUGAAGGCCUUCGGGUUGUAAAGCACUUUUGGCAGGAAAGAAACGUCAUGGGCUAAUACCCCGUGAAACUGACGGUACCUGCAGAAUAAGCACCGGCUAACUACGUGCCAGCAGCCGC
This 418-nucleotide ribosomal RNA is filed under the name uncultured Achromobacter sp. RNAcentral describes it as "bacterial SSU rRNA". It matches the Rfam family "Bacterial small subunit ribosomal RNA", at positions 107 to 518 of the family's 1533-position model. Lineage: Bacteria; Pseudomonadati; Pseudomonadota; Betaproteobacteria; Burkholderiales; Alcaligenaceae. The record is from RNAcentral.